This 830-nucleotide long non-coding RNA is filed under the name Pan troglodytes (chimpanzee). RNAcentral describes it as "lincRNA". Lineage: Eukaryota; Metazoa; Chordata; Mammalia; Primates; Hominidae. The record is from RNAcentral.
AUAGAAGAUUCAGGAUGUAGUACUCGUGGUUGGGGUCGGGGACACGGCAAGACAGGAGCGGAAGAGAGAGACGGAGAAGACGCAGGGGAACUGCAUCGGCCUCUGCUGCUCAGGAACAGCGUCGAGACCGGCGCAGGGACCAUGGGCGGGAGAGUCCUGAUGUACUCAAUGUAUAAUAUUAGGCAGAAACCCAAUAUAAAAAGAAAAGCAGAGUUGUUGUAGAUUCAUCGAGGGCUGGCGACCUGGUUCCAAUGAGCCAUCUCCCCGUUCCGACAGGGGCUUCCUGGAGCUCCUGCAACCCCAGGCAUUAGUUCCAGUGCAGUUCUAGGAUCAGAUCAAUUCACUCGACAACAAGAGAAACAAAUGGAGAUUCCUACACAAAGACUUUCAAGCACAAAGAAAUCCUGCUGCCUGUAAAGUGGAGCUGCCUCAGCUCUUGAUGAACGACAGAAAAUCUCACAUUCCAGGAAUUCAGAUGAAGUGAAGUGCUCUCAUGGGGACCAGGCAUGGUUAUUCCAGUCCACUGCCCUGCAAGCCUCAAGGGAAGCCAACUGCCCUUCAGCAAGUCACACCUGCCUUGGUGGAGGCCUUGAUUGGAAGUGCCACACGCUACAUGUCCAGUCCUGAGCGGGAGAAUCGGUGUAGGGACGUUGUGGGGAUGCCGGCUGUGGCCAGAUCAGGUCCAGCUACAGAAGAAUGAAGACUCCACCUGAGGGCUGGAAAAACAAAACCUCAAGUGUGAGGCAGCCAACCUGUUACCUCGAGGGACUGUCCCGCAGCACAGCGGGGCCAUGGGAACAGCAGCAGACACCCCGGCCUCCUCGCUACCU